This 107-nucleotide ribosomal RNA is filed under the name Campylobacter helveticus. RNAcentral's name for it is "16S rRNA. Bacterial SSU". It matches the Rfam family "Bacterial small subunit ribosomal RNA", at positions 1327 to 1432 of the family's 1533-position model. The record is from RNAcentral. Lineage: Bacteria; Pseudomonadati; Campylobacterota; Epsilonproteobacteria; Campylobacterales; Campylobacteraceae.
CGGAAUCGCUAGUAAUCGUGAAUCAGCCAUGUCACGGUGAAUACGUUCCCGGGUCUUGUACUCACCGCCCGUCACACCAUGGGAGUUGAUUUCACUCGAAGUGGAAA